GAUGAACGCUGGCGGCGUGCCUAAUACAUGCAAGUCGAGCGAACGGACGAGAAGCUUGCUUCUCUGAUGUUAGCGGCGGACGGGUGAGUAACACGUGGAUAACCUACCUAUAAGACUGGGAUAACUUCGGGAAACCGGAGCUAAUACCGGAUAAUAUUUUGAACCGCAUGGUUCAAAAGUGAAAGACGGUCUUGCUGUCACUUAUAGAUGGAUCCGCGCUGCAUUAGCUAGUUGGUAAGGUAACGGCUUACCAAGGCAACGAUGCAUAGCCGACCUGAGAGGGUGAUCGGCCACACUGGAACUGAGACACGGUCCAGACUCCUACGGGAGGCAGCAGUAGGGAAUCUUCCGCAAUGGGCGAAAGCCUGACGGAGCAACGCUGCGUGAGUGAUGAAGGUCUUCGGAUCGUAAAACUCUGUUAUUAGGGAAGAACAUAUGUGUAAGUAACUGUGCACAUCUUGACGGUACCUAAUCAGAAAGCCACGGCUAACUACGUGCCAGCAGCCGCGGUAAUACGUAGGUGGCAAGCGUUAUCCGGAAUUAUUGGGCGUAAAGCGCGCGUAGGCGGUUUUUUAAGUCUGAUGUGAAAGCCCACGGCUCAACCGUGGAGGGUCAUUGGAAACUGGAAAACUGAGUGCAGAAGAGGAAAGUGGAAUUCCAUGUGUAGCGGUGAAAUGCGCAGAGAUGUGAAGGAACACCAGUGGCGAAGGCGACUUUCUGGUCUGUAACUGACGCUGAUGUGCGAAAGCGUGGGGAUCAAACAGGAUUAGAUACCCUGGUAGUCCACGCCGUAAACGAUGAGUGCUAAGUGUUAGGGGGUUUCCGCCCCUUAGUGCUGCAGCUAACGCAUUAAGCACUCCGCCUGGGGAGUACGACCGCAAGGUUGAAACUCAAAGGAAUUGACGGGGACCCGCACAAGCGGUGGAGCAUGUGGUUUAAUUCGAAGCAACGCGAAGAACCUUACCAAAUCUUGACAUCCUUUGACAACUCUAGAGAUAGAGCCUUCCCCUUCGGGGGACAAAGUGGCAGGUGGUGCAUGGUUGUCGUCAGCUCGUGUCGUGAGAUGUUGGGUUAAGUCCCGCAACGAGCGCAACCCUUAAGCUUAGUUGCCAUCAUUAAGUUGGGCACUCUAAGUUGACUGCCGGUGACAAACCGGAGGAAGGUGGGGAUGACGUCAAAUCAUCAUGCCCCUUAUGAUUUGGGCUACACACGUGCUACAAUGGACAAUACAAAGGGCAGCGAAACCGCGAGGUCAAGCAAAUCCCAUAAAGUUGUUCUCAGUUCGGAUUGUAGUCUGCAACUCGACUACAUGAAGCUGGAAUCGCUAGUAAUCGUAGAUCAGCAUGCUACGGUGAAUACGUUCCCGGGUCU
This 1371-nucleotide ribosomal RNA is filed under the name uncultured bacterium. Its description in RNAcentral is "bacterial SSU rRNA". It matches the Rfam family "Bacterial small subunit ribosomal RNA", at positions 28 to 1381 of the family's 1533-position model. The record is from RNAcentral.